GGUGGUGGAGCUGCACACCAAGGCGCUAGCGCGGCUGGCGAUCGAGAAGGAGCAGACGGACGCGGCCGUGCGCGCCGUCAGCGCCGAGCGUGACGAGGCCCGUCAGGAGGUGGCCAACGUCGAGUCAAUGUUCGCCGACUUGCACCGCAAGUACGAGAAGAGCAAGAGUCUGAUGCAGGAGAACAGGCAGCGGAGCGAGACCAUCUCGAAGUCGUGGCAGUCGGCGCUGGACGAGGUGUCGCGAGAGAGGCAGCGCCACGACAUGCUGCAGAAGUACGCCGAGGACACGCUGCAGAGGUUGCGCGAGGACAUGGAGCUGGCGGAGAAGAGUCACGAGACG
Pollicipes pollicipes is the source of this 340-nucleotide long non-coding RNA. RefSeq lists it as uncharacterized. The transcript is spliced from 3 exons. Lineage: Eukaryota; Metazoa; Arthropoda; Thecostraca; Pollicipedomorpha; Pollicipedidae. The record is from RefSeq and is a predicted model, not a curated record.